GUAUAGUAGUGCUUGUGCACAACAAGAGUUUCAUUACAUUCGAGUUUGUGUAAAAUUCCUCUGCCGGCCGAAGCUAGCAAGAGGCCAAAGGUUCACAGGGGUAUUGGAUGAAAGCCACCGCCGUGCACUUGCCAGUUCUGGCCAGCACAGACGGCAACCAUUCGUAAUCAUUAAUGAUCCUUCCGCAGGUUCACCUACGGAAA
RNAcentral lists this unclassified non-coding RNA (203 nucleotides) under uncultured fungus. Its description in RNAcentral is "sequence contains ITS1". Lineage: Eukaryota; Fungi. The record is from RNAcentral.